AAGAUUUGUUUUCUAAACAUGAACUAAACAUAUCAAGAUUGCGUGGUUAGGGAUAUGAUGGAGCUAGUAACAUGCGAGCAUUAUAAACAUAAUUGUAGCAUCAUGUAAAAGGAUGGAGGUGAUUAGAGAAAAAUAAUAUGCUAGAAUUAUUGAAGGACUUGAAAAUGGAGAAAUUUCUAGUGGACGAGGCUUGAAUCAAGAAACUUCCCUUAGAAGUUCUUAAUGUGCUUGAGAUUAUAAGGGAGGAUAGGAU
Molecule: long non-coding RNA, 253 nt
Organism: Populus euphratica (Euphrates poplar)
Lineage: Eukaryota; Viridiplantae; Streptophyta; Magnoliopsida; Malpighiales; Salicaceae
Exons: 3
Source: RefSeq, a predicted model, not a curated record